This is a non-coding RNA of Dermacentor albipictus, 814 nucleotides long. The record is from RefSeq and is a predicted model, not a curated record. NCBI's taxonomy places the organism in Eukaryota, Metazoa, Arthropoda, Arachnida, Ixodida, Ixodidae.
CGUGUGUGUGUGUAAAAGACUGUUUCUUCAUGUCUCGUGUGGCUGCUCCCGGAGUUCUCAUAUGCAGUCGGACUCGACGUUUACCCAGAUAAAGCAUGGGGACACAUCACCUUUUUACUGUGCUUCUGUUUACCACCUCUCUAAGCAUGUGGGAAUGUAAACUUUGGGUGGUGAAAUCAAGUCCAAGUGCUGCAAAGAGCGUGGGGCGAAUGAACAGGCGUCAUCACCAUGGUCGAAAACACAGUAAACAAGGUACCAUCGAAAAUGCUUCUCAACGCAAUCAAUGAAAGGCCAGUAGUUUUUCAAGCGAGACCAGGAUUUUGUGUUGUAGAUUUUUUUACAGCUUUACUCUAAUAGAAGACUGGUAUGGGCUGUGAAGACGACUGCAGAAACGAGCACAACAUGCCGAGUCGACGUUGUUACGGCCGCGAAUGCAAGUUAUGUCCACUUUAAUCGAACAUAUUAUUGGAAGGAUACGAAAACAGUGAACCUCUUGGAGGGAACUUUGGUGGUUCUGAGUAUGCUCAGCCAUGAAAGUUGGAAAUCGGAGGGGAUGCUUCUUCAUGGGCAUGAUGCCACGAUAUUUUGGGAGGAGGAACUCUUAUCUGUUGACGAUACCAAAGUGUGUGACGUUUACUACGUGAGACCUCAAUUUGGGCGCCCGUGGUAUGAGCUGCGUGUGUUGAAUUCAACAGUGGAAAAUAUCCCAAAGCAAUGCCUGAAUUUAACCAAGAACCAUUUCAUAUACGGCCAGCAAUGGAAACGUUUGUACAAUUCAGCCUGUCAAAACAUUAUCCAAAAUAAUCAACACUAA